RNAcentral lists this transfer RNA (75 nucleotides) under Candidatus Woesebacteria bacterium RIFCSPHIGHO2_01_FULL_37_10. Its description in RNAcentral is "tRNA-Arg". It matches the Rfam family "tRNA". Rfam says of the family: Transfer RNA (tRNA) molecules are approximately 80 nucleotides in length. Their secondary structure includes four short double-helical elements and three loops (D, anti-codon, and T loops). The record is from RNAcentral. Lineage: Bacteria; Candidatus Woeseibacteriota.
GCCCUCGUAGUUUAAAGGAUAAAACGUGGGCUUCCGGAGCCUAAGCUAUGGGUUCGAUUCCCAUCGGGGGCACAA